This is a long non-coding RNA of Manduca sexta (tobacco hornworm), 404 nucleotides long. RefSeq lists it as uncharacterized. Lineage: Eukaryota; Metazoa; Arthropoda; Insecta; Lepidoptera; Sphingidae. The transcript has 3 exons. The record is from RefSeq and is a predicted model, not a curated record.
UCUCUUUGACUACAGUGAAAUCACAAUGAAGUUUUUUGUGUUCGCUCUUCUACUGAUCCUGGGUACAGUAAUGCUGGCCUCAGCUGCUAAGCCGUGUAAUUGUCCCACAGCGUACAUACCUGUGUGUGGCACUAAUGGAGUCACUUACACCAACUGGUGCCAGUUAAAGUGUAGCGGAGAAAUGUUAGCACACAGAGGUCCGUGCUAGCGUGCCGUAGUGUUUGAAGAAAUAUAUCAGGAAAUAAGUAACCAUUUUAUAAUCUUAUGAUGUAGUAACGAGCAUGGCUGAUUAAGCACGAUGUGUAAAGGCAUUCAAUCGGUGAAAAUUCAAAGAACUUUUACUUAAUAAUGUAUUAAGAAAUAGAGUUUAUUAUUGAUGUUUUAAUAAAUAAAUGUACCUUAAU